This 253-nucleotide ribosomal RNA is filed under the name uncultured bacterium. RNAcentral describes it as "partial 16S ribosomal RNA". It matches the Rfam family "Bacterial small subunit ribosomal RNA", at positions 524 to 776 of the family's 1533-position model. The record is from RNAcentral.
UACGUAGGUGGCGAGCGUUGUCCGGAAUUACUGGGUGUAAAGCGCGUGUAGGCGGCAGGCCAAGUCGGUGGUGAAAGCGCCCGGCUCAACUGGGCGAGGUCCAUGGAAACUGGUCAGCUGGAGGACGGUAGAGGCGAGUGGAAUUCCCGGUGUAGUGGUGAAAUGCGUAGGGAUCGGGAGGAACACCUGUGGCGAAGGCGGCUCGCUGGGCCGGUCCUGACGCUGAAACGCGAAGGCGUGGGGAGCGAACGGG